AGCAGCCGCGGUAAUUCCAGCUCCAAUAGCGUAUAUUAAAGUUGUUGCAGUUAAAAAGCUCGUAGUUGAAUUUCGGGAUCAAUAUGUUGGUCGUGCCUCGGUACGUACUAGCAUAUUGGUUUCUCCUUUCUGAAGAACCAUGAUGUCAUUUAUUUGGUGUCGUGGGGAAUCAGGACUGUUACUUUGAAAAAUUAGAGUGUUUAAAGCAGGCUCACGCUUGAAUACAUUAGCAUGGAAUAAUGAAAUAGGACGUUUGAUUCUAUUUUGUUGGUUUCUAGGAUCGACGUAAUGAUUAAUAGGGAUAGUUGGGGGCAUUAGUAUUCAAUUGUCAGAGGUGAAAUUCUUGGAUUUAUUGAAGACUAACUACUGCGAAAGCAUUUGCCAAGGAUGUUUUCAU
Molecule: ribosomal RNA, 397 nt
Filed under: uncultured Glomeromycotina
Lineage: Eukaryota; Fungi; Glomeromycota
Description: SSU rRNA
Rfam family: Eukaryotic small subunit ribosomal RNA
Source: RNAcentral